RNAcentral lists this ribosomal RNA (369 nucleotides) under Triticum aestivum (bread wheat). RNAcentral describes it as "partial small subunit ribosomal RNA". Lineage: Eukaryota; Viridiplantae; Streptophyta; Magnoliopsida; Poales; Poaceae. The record is from RNAcentral.
AUGCUACCUCGGCCAUAUUUUGUAAAAAAUAGACACCCUGGAACCAAAAAGACAAUUGACCAUUUGAUCAUCGCGUGUCCGUUUUGUGUGGCUUGUUGGCUGAAAGUUGGAAUUUCAUGGAGUCCGAAUCAAACGCGGAUUGACGCCAUCCAAGCUGUUAAACAGAGCUUCUUCGGAGACUUACUUUUUGAGAUUAUGGGUAUUGUUGCCUGGAAUAUUUGGAAAGAGCGAAACAACUUCAUUUUCAGGCACAUCAAUCCUACUUUGGCCGCUUGGAGAGAGAGGUCCAAGUCAGAUCUUCUCUGGCUGAAAUAUAGAGUGGACAAAGCUUUUUGGGACUACAUUACUCAGUUAGCUCGUUCUUUGUAA